RNAcentral lists this ribosomal RNA (503 nucleotides) under uncultured bacterium. Its description in RNAcentral is "bacterial SSU rRNA". It matches the Rfam family "Bacterial small subunit ribosomal RNA", at positions 29 to 507 of the family's 1533-position model. The record is from RNAcentral.
AAUGAACGCUGGCGGCGUGCCUAACACAUGCAAGUCGGACGAGAAAGACUGUUUUCGGACGGUCGAGUAAAGUGGCGCACGGGUGAGUAGCGCGUAGGUAACCUACCCUUGUAUUGGGGAUAACUCCGCGAAAGCGGGGCUAAUACCGGAUACGAUCCUCACCUGGCGGGGUGGGAAUGAAAGUGGGCCUCUCGGAGAAGCUCACGUACGGGGAUGGGCCUGCGUCCUAUCAGCUAGUUGGUGGGGUAAUGGCCUACCAAGGCGACGACGGGUAGCUGGUCUGAGAGGAUGAUCAGCCACACUGGAACUGAGACACGGUCCAGACUCCUACGGGAGGCAGCAGUAGGGAAUAUUGGACAAUGGGCGCAAGCCUGAUCCAGCCAUGCCGCGUGAGUGAAGAAGGCCCUCGGGUUGUAAAGCUCUUUUGUCCGGAAAGAAAAGCGCCGGGUUAAUACCCUAGUGUCCUGACGGUACCGGAAGAAUAAGCAUCGGCUAACUCCGUG